GACGAACGCUGGCGGCGUGCCUAAUACAUGCAAGUUGAGCGCUGAAGGUUGGUACUUGUACCAACUGGAUGAGCAGCGAACGGGUGAGUAACGCGUGGGGAAUCUGCCUUUGAGCGGGGGACAACAUUUGGAAACGAAUGCUAAUACCGCAUAAAAACUUUAAACACAAGUUUUAAGUUUGAAAGAUGCAAUUGCAUCACUCAAAGAUGAUCCCGCGUUGUAUUAGCUAGUUGGUGAGGUAAAGGCUCACCAAGGCGAUGAUACAUAGCCGACCUGAGAGGGUGAUCGGCCAAAAUGGGAAUGAGACAAGGCCCAAAAGCCUAAGGGAGGCAGCAGUAGGGAAACUUCGGAAAUGGACGAAAGUCUGACCGAGAAACGCCGCGUGAGUGAAGAAGGUUUUCGGAUCGUAAAACUCUGUUGGUAGAGAAGAACGUUGGUGAGAGUGGAAAGCUCAUCAAGUGACGGUAACUACACAGAAAGGGACGGCUAACUACGUG
Molecule: ribosomal RNA, 497 nt
Filed under: uncultured bacterium
Lineage: Bacteria
Description: partial 16S ribosomal RNA
Rfam family: Bacterial small subunit ribosomal RNA
Source: RNAcentral